RNAcentral lists this unclassified non-coding RNA (1691 nucleotides) under Singerocomus inundabilis. Its description in RNAcentral is "partial contains ITS1, 5.8S rRNA, ITS2 and LSU". The stretch from base 761 to 1691 matches the Rfam family "Eukaryotic large subunit ribosomal RNA", at positions 1 to 922 of the family's 3401-position model. The record is from RNAcentral. Lineage: Eukaryota; Fungi; Basidiomycota; Agaricomycetes; Boletales; Boletaceae.
UCAUUAUUGAACUCUCAGGUAGAGGGGAGGGGGAGAAGGGGCUAAACUUUGACUGUCGCUGGCCUUGGCAUGUUGCACGUCUAAGACUCCCUUUCGUUCAUUCUCUCUCCUUUACCACAACCAACACACCUGUGCACCUACUGUAGGCCCUCGAAAGAGGAACCUAUGCUUUUUCGCAUCUACUCUAUGUCUAUAGAAUGUAUAUGUAUUUGUAUUGAAGAUCGUCGCGGUCCAAUAUAAAUGUAAAUGUCAUACAACUUUCAGCAACGGAUCUCUUGGCUCUCGCAUCGAUGAAGAACGCAGCGAAUUGCGAUAAGUAAUGUGAAUUGCAGAUUUUCAGUGAAUCAUCGAAUCUUUGAACGCACCUUGCGCUCCUUGGUAUUCCGAGGAGCAUGUCUGUUUGAGUGUCAUUGAAUUCCUCAAACCAAUGUUUUGAUUCAUCUUCAAAGCAUUGGCUUUGGAACAAUUGGGGGUUUGCUGGCCGCAACAAUAGCAGUCGGCUCUCCUGAAAUGCAUUAGCAGGAAAAGGGAGUUUGCACCAUGCAAGUCUUUCUUUGACGUGCACGGCCUUGGACGUGAUAAUGAUCGUCAUCGCUGGAGCGUCAGACUUGAUCAAUGGCAGUGUCUCUCUUCAUGCUUCCAAUUUCUCUGAUCCUUGAGGGCCUUUAAUCCCCUACCUAACCUUGUCAAGGUCGCUUUCAAGUGGCUUUGUUUGUUAGUUUUGAUUUUGGGGGCCUUUUUGAAUCUUUGCUUGAAAGCUUGACCUCAAAUCAGAUAGGACUACCCGCUGAACUUAAGCAUAUCAAUAAGCGGAGGAAAAGAAACUAACAAGGAUUCCCCUAGUAACUGCGAGUGAAGCGGGAAGAGCUCAAAUUUUGAAUCUGGCGGUGUUUGGCCGUCCGAGUUGUAAUCUAGAGAAGCGUGUUCUGUGUUGGACCGUGUACAAGUCUCCUGGAAGGGAGCGUCAUAGAGGGUGAGAGUCCCGUCUUUGACACGGACUACCAAUGCUAUGUGAUGCGCUCUCGACGAGUCGAGUUGUUUGGGAAUGCAGCUCAAAACGGGUGGUAAAUUCCAUCUAAAGCUAAAUACAGGCGAGAGACCGAUAGCGAACAAGUACCGUGAGGGAAAGAUGAAAAGAACUUUGGAAAGAGAGUUAAACAGUACGUGAAAUUGCUGAAAGGGAAACGCUUGAUGUCAGUCGCGUGGGCCGGGGAUCAACCUUUGCACUUUUUCGCUGGGUGUACUUCCCGGUCGACGGGUCAGCAUCAGUUUCGGUCGCCAUACAAGGGCGAGGGGAAUGUGGCACCCUUCUGGGGUGUGUUAUAGCCUUUCGUCGCAUGUGGUGCUCGAGACUGAGGAACUCAGCACGGCUUUUCAGCAGUGUGCUUUUAGGAUGCUGGCAUAAUGGCCUUAAGCGACCCGUCUUGAAACACGGACCAAGGAGUCUAACAUGCCUGCGAGUGUUUGGGUGCCAAACCCGAGCGCGUAAUGAAAGUGAACGUUGAGACCUCUGUCGUGGAGGGCACCGACGCCCGGACCUGAGUCUUUGACGACGGAUCUGCGGUAGAGCAUGCAUGUUGGGACCCGAAAGAUGGUGAACUAUGCCUGAAUAGGGUGAAGCCAGAGGAAACUCUGGUGGAGGCUCGUAGCGAUUCUGACGUGCAAAUCGAUCGUCGAAUUUGGGUAUAGGG